RNAcentral lists this ribosomal RNA (492 nucleotides) under uncultured bacterium. RNAcentral's name for it is "partial 16S ribosomal RNA". It matches the Rfam family "Bacterial small subunit ribosomal RNA", at positions 29 to 507 of the family's 1533-position model. The record is from RNAcentral.
AGUGAACGCUGGCGGUAGACCUAACACAUGCAAGUCGGACGGCAGCACAGUAAGAGCUUGCUCUUACGGGUGGCGAGUGGCGGACGGGUGAGGAAUACAUCGGAAUCUACUUUUUCGUGGGGGAUAACGUAGGGAAACUUACGCUAAUACCGCAUACGACCUACGGGUGAAAGCAGGGGAUCUUCGGACCCUGCGCGAUUGAAUGAGCCGAUGUCGGAUUAGCUAGUUGGCGGGGUAAAGGCCCACCAAGGCGACGAUCCGUAGCUGGUCUGAGAGGAUGAUCAGCCACACUGGAACUGAGACACGGUCCAGACUCCUACGGGAGGCAGCAGUGGGGAAUAUUGGACAAUGGGCGCAAGCCUGAUCCAGCCAUACCGCGUGGGUGAAGAAGGCCUUCGGGUUGUAAAGCCCUUUUGUUGGGAAAGAAAAGCAGCAGGUUAAUACCCCGCUGUUCUGACGGUACCCAAAGAAUGAGCACCGGCUAACUUCGUG